Molecule: long non-coding RNA, 4708 nt
Organism: Sesamum indicum (sesame)
Lineage: Eukaryota; Viridiplantae; Streptophyta; Magnoliopsida; Lamiales; Pedaliaceae
Source: RefSeq, a predicted model, not a curated record
UCGCAUCCUUGUAGUCGAACGAAACAUCAUUCUCGGAAUUGAUGCGACUUUUGAAUGAUUUAGCAACCAUUUUAAUUAUUGCCUGCGACACCAUGAUGGCGUGUGUGCAAGAACUGCAAGUUGUAUUGUUAGCGGUUAGCUCAUCCAACAAGGGAAUAAAGGAACUUUAGUGCCCUAUCUCAUUCUCAUUUAGUGCUUCUUUCUUUCCUACUCUCCUUCUGCCCAACCUCUGGCAUUUUCUGGGUGACCAUCGACCGUUUACAUCCUCACCUAUCUUCUUUAUUUUUAUCCUCGUAAAUGUUCUUGAUUUUUUAUUCCUUCUUCCUCCUCUCUGUUAUGAUCUUGUUUGUUGGAGCAUCUGUAUUUUCAAGCUCUUAUCCUUUUUCUACAUUUUUUGGGUUCUUAAAAAAAUGGUCUCGUUGCAUGGGAGGAUUCAAGCUUCCGGUAGUGAUGAUCCCACCGAGGCGACUUUGCGGCGAGCAGGCAGUGGCUCAUCCUCCGCCCAUUUGGCCCAGAGAGUAGAGCUUUUGUACUGUGGAGAGGCGAUGCUGCCUUAUAGACGAGUCCUUCGAGGGAAAGGAGAUAGAGAGGGAGGAGGAAGAGAGAAGGGGUGAGGUCUCUUUGAAAGAGGAGGAAGAUAGAGAGGGAGAUCUUGAGGAAGAGGGGGAGGUCCCCUUGGUUGGGGUGAGUGGAUGGAUGAGAGCCACUAGCCUAGUUUUGUGGACUGGGUACCCUUGGUAUUUCGGGAGGCUUAUGCCCAAUGGUUGAGGGAGGACUAUAGAAUUCCCAAGUCUAUACCUUACUUUUCCCCUCUUAACAACCUGUACUUCUUCACAGCCUAGGUGCGUGGAGACCUUCGUUUUCCCGUUCUUUCCUUUUAUUGCAAGGUGGCCUGUAUUUUUUGGGUCCCCUUGAACUAACUCGCGCUUAAAUCCUUUCACUUGAUGGUCGGCUUUUCCGUCGUUGUAAGUUAUAAUGGAGCCAAGCCCUCAAGUGAAAAUCUUUUUUCCUGCUUUCAACUAAGAAAAUCAAAGUCGGGCCUUUUUCAUUUUUCCCCUUGCCAUGGAGUACACUUCAUACCUAUUUGUAAUGUCUCAAGAAUUGGAAGGGGAGCUAUUUCUUUGUGGUGCCACUUAGUAAUGGGAUUUUUCUCAUGAGUGUUGGUGGAUCUCCCUCUGGCCAGGAGUUUCUCCAUUCGUAGAUGGAGUGCUUAGUUGACGGCUUACCAAAGAGGUUGAAUCUUGAGCCCUAUGAUUGUAUGGUGUUGGUGGAUAAGAGACUCCUUUCUCAUUUUCGUUUAAGCCCUCAAGAGAUUCCUCUGGAGAGGCCUUUGGAAUCCAUGAUGUUCAAGAACCUCUUGGGGGAGAGCAUGAGGGAAGUCCUCAACUCCUACCUCCACAGCUCGAGACUCUAUGGGAACUCCUGCCUCCAGUGAGUUUUGAGGGGAAACGCUCGGGCGCAACCUCCUAAAGGGCCUCAAAGUGGUCACUAGGUCUACUUUUGUUCUCCUUCUUCCCCGGAGCCAGGGGAUUUCUACCCCUACCGACUGCUCCACCAUCGAGAGUGGAGCAUUUAUAAUGCCAAGUGGAGCAUUUAUAAUGCCAACCCUUUUUUAAGGGAAUGGGAGGGGGAGACUUUGUUGCUUGGAGACUUCUAUUAGGGGGUUGUGUUGCCAGUGGACAGGCGACACAUGUCUGGCUCCUAUAGAGUGGAGCUUUGAGGUCGUCUAGCUAGCCACCUCGCAUGGCAAUCACUAUCUACAGGGAGGCGAUAAUUGGCCUCUAAGCUCUUUCUCCUCUUCCCCUUCUUCCUGAAGGCACCAUGAAGCGUUUGAAGGAGUGAGUUGCUCGUCUAUGAGAUGAGCUUGCUAAGGAGAUGGGGAUUAAGGAGGAGACUGUGGCUAAGCACAAAUGGUUGGAGAAAAAGCUCUAAAGUCCAAACAAUCAACUAACGACUUCCACCAAAGUUCAGAAGGAAGCUACCUAUAAAGCGGCAAAUGAUGCUCACUUGGGAUUCCUUGACACGAGGAUAGAUAGGCCUAUUUCGAGUCCUUCUAGGAGAGUCAUUUGGUCAACUUCUGAAAGUCAGAAGAUUUCAAUUUUGAUCUGGCUAAUAAGGUUGGGCCCUACUACGUUGAUGGCUUCAAUACCUUCCUAGACAUGGAUGCAGGUCUCGAGGAUGCCCUUGAGCCAGAUGAAAGGAUCAUUCCCCAUGCAGGCCAGGAAGAGCCCUUUAUGGAUUUAGGUGGUUGUUUCUCCCAUAAAGGGCUCUUGCAGAUGAAGAUCUAGAUACCAUCCUAGGGACGAUAAUAUAAGAAGUACAACCCCACCUGCUAUCGAUACACUAGCCACCAUGGAGAUUGACUUCUCCCAGAACCUCCGAAGAGCCUACCUAAGAGCUUGUUAUCCUCCCUUAGCCAAGAAGAUCCUUGAAAGAAUAUCUACUCACCAUUCACAUCGAGCAAGAGGUAACCUCCAUUGUGGGAGAGAGUUAAAACAAAAACCAAACCCCCCUCCCAAUUCUGAGAAAGAGGUUUUUAUAGAAAAAAUAAUUCCUGUUUGUGGUUCUUGCAUUGGGGAUGAAUGUUGGUUGCAUGUGGUCUUUUGAACAAUUUUGGUUAUUUUCACUUGUUGGUGUAUGUUUUUUUUUUUUCUUGCUUCCCUAACUGGUUUAGUUGGGACCUUUGAUGAAUGGUAUUGCUUUUCUCAACUCAUCUUGUUGGGGUUUACUGCCCGUUCUUCCAUUCAUCAUUUGUCUACUUGCUUUAGUUAUCGGUUCAUCAGUUGAAUUUAAGGGUUUGUCAUCCUUGUCAUUGUUGUAACGUCCCUUUAUUCAAUGCUUUAAUCCCUUGCGAACUGAAGAGUUCCUUAGUUUCAGAAUGAAGCCUGUGUAAAGUAAAGCUUACAUGACAUAGUAUGUGUGCUCCAAAUAGUGCUUGCUUCUACUAAGUGCUGAAUUUGUUGUUAUUUUCUAAAGGACACCUGCAAAAGAAGCAGGGUUUAUUUAGGGGAAGAUGUCUAUCCAAGAACAUGGCUUAUUUAUAAGAGGGUACUUGUCUAGGGAUAAGGUUUAUCCUGAAGGGGUACUUGCUCAAAGGCAAGGGUUAUUGCUAAGGGAGUUCUUUUUAGAGACAAGACUUAUUCUUGAGAGGACGCUUUCAAAGGUAGGGCUUUCUUUGAGAGAUGCCUACCUAGGGGCAAGGCUUAUAGUUUAGAGGAAGCUUGCUAAACACAAGGCUUGUCUUUGAAAUAUUCCUGCCUAGGAAAGAGCUUAUUUUUCAAGGGGUGCCUACCUAGAGGCAUUGCUUAGUUCUUAGAGGACGAUAGGGAUUUUCUUUGAGACAGCUUGCCUAAGGGCAAGGUUUAUUUCUGAAGGGGGUGUCUGCAUAGAGGUAAGGCUUAUUUUUUAGAAGGCGCCUGCCAGGAGCAAGGCGUCUGCUUGAGGGAAAGGUUAUUUAUGAAAAUGUGCUUGUCUAGGAACAAGGCUUGGCUUAAGCAUAGACUAUUUAAAGUUAUGGACAUACCAUGGUCGUGAUAGAGGUCCCCCUUCUUGGUCUUCUAACUCAUAAGCUCUAUGCCCUAGGCUCCUCAUUAUCAUAUACGACCCUUCCCAAUUAGGGUCUAAUUUGCCUACUAAUUUUAGUGUCUCGACCCAAAAGACUAAGUCUCCCUUUUAGAAGUCUUAAGGCUUUAUUAAUCUAUUAUGGGCAUAGAUAAUCACAUUUUUGUAAUACUGCAUACAGAGGAAAGCCUUCUGUAGGACUCUUUGAUGAGUCCAGGUUUUUCCUCUGGAGAUGGGUGUUCUCUUCCUCUAAGUAGUGUUAUAUUCAAUGGGAGGGCAUCCCUACUUUGGCAGGGAUGACACUGUCGGUUUCAUAUACUAAGGUGAAGAGACAUCCUCCAGUAGAUGUUCUAGGGGGUCAUACUAUAAGCUCAUAAGAAAUUGGGAAUUCCUCAUCCCAAUUUCCCCCCGCUUGGUCUAGUCUUCUUUUAAUCCCUCGCGCUAGUACUCAGUUGGGGACUUGUACUUGUCCAUUAUCUUGAGGAUGAGUUAUCGUAGUAAACCUUUUCAUAAUUCAAAGCCCUUUACACUAAUCUUGAAAAUGUGUGACCUUGAAAUUGUGAACCAUUGUCCGAGAUAAGCUCUCGAGGAAGACCGAACUAACAAAUUACGGUUUGCCAUAUGAAUUUCUUGACUUCCCCCUUAGUGAUGUGGGAGAGGGGUUCACUUCCACCCAUUUGGUGAAGUAGUCAAUGUACUAAGAGGAAUUUCCUCUAGUGGGGGCCCAAGGAAAAGGGUCCAACCAUGUCUACAUCCCAUUGGGAGAAGAGAGAGAGGGCCUAUAAGGUAGUUAGGGGUUCUGCUGGAUGGUUAAUAAGAGUUCAAUGUUGUUAACAUUUAUCACAACUGCGGACUAAUUGAUGCGUCUCAUGUUUCAUAGUAUGCCAAAAGUAUCCCGCUCGUAGAGCCUCUCCGAUCAACAUCAUAAGUCUUGCAUUACUCUCGUGACACCCACUGUGUAUUUCCUUAAAAAGACAUACUAUUCGUCUUUUGAGAUUAGGCACCUUAGUAGGGGAUGAGUGAAUGCUUUUUUGUAUAGGGUAUCUGAAAGAAUUGAGCAUAGCGCGGGAACACAAUGAAAGUAUAAAAACAAAAGCAAUUUAAACCACUUAAACCCUUUCAAAUGGGUGUACGUUUAUGGUGUUUG